RNAcentral lists this unclassified non-coding RNA (243 nucleotides) under Melitaea cinxia (Glanville fritillary). RNAcentral describes it as "misc RNA ENSMCXG00005013992.1". Lineage: Eukaryota; Metazoa; Arthropoda; Insecta; Lepidoptera; Nymphalidae. The record is from RNAcentral.
AGAUUGAAAACGUAGGAAAGAAUUCUGAGCAUCAUGAGGCAUACGUUUGGUCGUAUCCAUCUUAUGAAUUCUCAUACGAAGUAUCGGAUCCACAUACGCAUGAUUUUAAAGGACACCAUGAAACAAGAAAAGGCGAUGACGUAAAAGGAUACUACUGGCUUAUUCAACCUGAUGGUUUGAAGCGCACAGUCAAGUAUCACGCUGACAAAAAUAGCGGACUUGAAGCACACGUUGAUUAUGAAA